UACGUAGGGGGCAAGCGUUGUCCGGAUUUAUUGGGCGUAAAGCGCGCGCAGGUGGUGGGUUAAGUUGUGGGUAAAAGGCAUUGGCUCAACCAAUGUAAGCCUGCAAAACUGGCUCAACUUGAGUGCAGGAGAGGGGAGUGGAAUUCCCGGUGGUAGCGGUGCAAAUGCAUAGAUAAUCGUCAAGAACACCGAUAAGCAGAACGGCAGCUUACUA
This 214-nucleotide ribosomal RNA is filed under the name uncultured bacterium. RNAcentral describes it as "partial 16S ribosomal RNA". It matches the Rfam family "Bacterial small subunit ribosomal RNA", at positions 524 to 731 of the family's 1533-position model. The record is from RNAcentral.